RNAcentral lists this ribosomal RNA (239 nucleotides) under uncultured Glomus. Its description in RNAcentral is "partial 18S ribosomal RNA". It matches the Rfam family "Eukaryotic small subunit ribosomal RNA", at positions 569 to 813 of the family's 1831-position model. The record is from RNAcentral. Lineage: Eukaryota; Fungi; Glomeromycota; Glomeromycetes; Glomerales; Glomeraceae.
CGCAGCCGCGGUAAUUCCAGCUCCAAUAGCGUAUAUUAAAGUUGUUGCAGUUAAAAAGCUCGUAGUUGAAUUUCGGGAUCAGUACGCUGGUCAUGCCUUUGGUAUGCACUGGUGUCACUGGUUUCUCCCUUCUGAAGAACCGUGAUGUCAUUAAUUUGGUGUCGCGGGGAAUCAGGACUGUUACUUUGAAAAAAUUAGAGUGUUUAAAGCAGGCCCACGCUUGAAUACAUUAGCAUAGG